RNAcentral lists this ribosomal RNA (484 nucleotides) under uncultured bacterium. RNAcentral's name for it is "partial 16S ribosomal RNA". It matches the Rfam family "Bacterial small subunit ribosomal RNA", at positions 30 to 507 of the family's 1533-position model. The record is from RNAcentral.
AUUGAACGCUGGCGGCAUGCUUUACACAUGCAAGUCGAACGGCAGCGCGCGCUUUGUCCUGGCGGCGCGUGGCGCACGGGUGUGUAUUGCAUUGGAAUGUGCUCCGUUGUGGGGGAUAGUCCGGUGAAAGCCGGAUUAAUACUGCAUACGACCUGAGGGUGAUAGCGGGUGACCGAAAGGCCUCGUGCUAUUUGAGCGGUCGACGUCGGAUUAGUUAGUUGGUGGGGUAAAGGCUUACCAAGGCGACGAUCCGUAGCUGGUCUGAGAGGACGACCAGCCACACUGGAAGUGAAACACGGCCCAGACUCCUACGGGAGGCAGCAGUGGGGAAUUGUGGGCAAUAGGGGCAACCCUGAUCCAACCAUGCCACGUGCGAGAAGAAAGCCUUCGGGUUGUAAACCGCUUUUGUUCGGGAAGAAAUCCUCUGGGCUAAUACCCCGGGGGAAUGACGGUACCGGAAAAAUAAGCACCGGCUAACUACGUG